ACUUGUCUAGCUCAGUUGGUAAAAUACAAGGCUUUUAAACUUGUGGUCGUGGGUUCGAGCCCCGCAAUGGGUG
This 73-nucleotide transfer RNA is filed under the name Zea mays. It matches the Rfam family "tRNA". Rfam says of the family: Transfer RNA (tRNA) molecules are approximately 80 nucleotides in length. Their secondary structure includes four short double-helical elements and three loops (D, anti-codon, and T loops). Further hydrogen bonds mediate the characteristic L-shaped molecular structure. tRNAs have two regions of fundamental functional importance: the anti-codon, which is responsible for specific mRNA codon recognition, and the 3' end, to which the tRNAs corresponding amino acid is attached (by aminoacyl-tRNA synthetases). tRNAs cope with the degeneracy of the genetic code in two manners: having more than one tRNA (with a specific anti-codon) for a particular amino acid; and 'wobble' base-pairing, i.e. permitting non-standard base-pairing at the 3rd anti-codon position. Lineage: Eukaryota; Viridiplantae; Streptophyta; Magnoliopsida; Poales; Poaceae. The record is from Rfam by way of RNAcentral.